AUAAGUCUGUUGUUAAAGACUAGGGCUCAACCCUAGAAAAGCAAUGGAAACUACUAGACUAGAGUAUGGCAGGGGUAGAGGGAAUUUCUAGUGUAGCGGUGAAAUGCGUAGAUAUUAGAAAGAACACCGGUGGCGAAAGCGCUCUACUGGACCAUUACUGACACUCAGAGGCGAAAGCUAGGGUAGCAAAAGGGAUUAGAUACCCCUGUAGUCCUAGCCGUAAACGAUGGAUACUAGAUGUUGUGCAUAAUGUACAGUAUCAUAGCUAACGCGUUAAGUAUCCCGCCUGGGGAGUACGCUCGCAAGGGUGAAACUCAAAGGAAUUGACGGGGGCCCGCACAAGCGGUGGAGCAUGUGGUUUAAUUCGAUGCAACGCGAAGAACCUUACCAGGACUUGACAUACUACAAAUUCUUUUGAGAAAAAGAAGUGCCUUCGGGAAUGUAGAUACAGGUGGUGCAUGGCUGUCGUCAGCUCGUGUCGUGAGAUGUUGGGUUAAGUCCCGCAACGAGCGCAACCCUUAUUUUUAGUUAC
Molecule: ribosomal RNA, 532 nt
Filed under: uncultured marine haptophyte
Lineage: Eukaryota; Haptophyta
Description: bacterial SSU rRNA
Rfam family: Bacterial small subunit ribosomal RNA
Source: RNAcentral